Non-coding RNA from Oryza glaberrima (African rice), 182 nucleotides. NCBI's taxonomy places the organism in Eukaryota, Viridiplantae, Streptophyta, Magnoliopsida, Poales, Poaceae. The record is from Rfam.
CAUGAUUUCUGUGUCCAACAUUUAACUGUCCGUCUUAUUUAAAAAAAUUAAAAAGACAAGUCGCGCAUAAAAUAUUAAUCAUAUUUUAUCACCUAACAACAAUAAAAAUACGAAUUAUAAAAAAAAUUUCAUAUAAGACGGACAGUCAAAAUUGGACACGGAAAUUCAGAGUUUUACCAUUU